GAUCAACGCUGGCGGCGUGCCUUACGCAUGCAAGUCGCACGGUAUCGGCUUCGGUCGGUACAGUGGCGGACGGGUGAGGAACACGUACGUGACCUGCCCCAAAGUGGGGGAUACCGGUUCGAAGGGACCGCUAAUACCGCAUGUGGUCUUCUGGUUGCGAGCAGAAGAGUAAACCAGUACUGGGCUUUGGGAGGGGCGUGCGGCGGAUUAGCUCGUUGGUGGGGUAACGGCCUACCAAGGCGACGANCCGUAGCUGGUCUGAGAGGACGGCCAGCCACACGGGGACUGAGACACGGCCCCGACUCCUACGGGAGGCAGCAGCGAGGAAUCUUGGUCAAUGGGCGCAAGCCUGAACCAGCGACGCCGCGUGGGGGA
Molecule: ribosomal RNA, 375 nt
Filed under: uncultured bacterium
Lineage: Bacteria
Description: bacterial SSU rRNA
Rfam family: Bacterial small subunit ribosomal RNA
Source: RNAcentral